Molecule: long non-coding RNA, 644 nt
Organism: Notothenia coriiceps (black rockcod)
Lineage: Eukaryota; Metazoa; Chordata; Actinopteri; Perciformes; Nototheniidae
Exons: 5
Source: RefSeq, a predicted model, not a curated record
CCGCUGAAGAAUAUCAGGCAGAGGCGGAGAGGAGGACACACAUCAGAGCAGAGAGGCGUCGAGAUCGGACAGGACGAUGCGGCCGAAACACCCACCAAAACCGCGAAAAUCGCCCCAAAAUGUGCCACCGGCCGGGGUAGAUGACGACGGCUACACCCGGACUUGGAAAUGGGAAUUCUCUUGAGGUUUCACAAAUUGCGUCAACGAAGAAAAUAAAUCAUCUGACCCAAGCUAAAUGGGUUGACAUUUAGACACCAUGGAGUCGAGAAUUGAAGCAUUCCGGCGAUUUGAACUGCAAGAAGUUUUUCGGAAGAAUGAGAUGGGCGUGAAGAUUUUCAAAUUAUGAUGAAAAAGAAGACGGCUCGACGCCAUUCAACUGGAUAGUGGUGAAGUGGAGACAGCGUUGUUUGACGCGAAGAUGGCAAACUGGUUUGACAGUUAGCCACAUUUUGCCAAGAUGAAGCCUUUUUGACUGGGAUUUUUCGAUUGGAUAUUUUUUAUUUUUUAUGACAACAUGGACACUGGAAGACGUGCUGGCUGUAUAGCGGACUUAAAUAAUUACAUUGUUGUUUUGGGGAAAAUAGCCUUUGUACAUUUGUUUUUCAAAUGUUGUUUUGAAAUAAAGUUUAUGUCCUCGUAAUUUU